UGCGCACUGGAACCAGGCGUGCGGCGCCCCAGGCGCCGGGCCUGCGGCGGCCGGAACCGGAACGCGCGCCCGCGGGGUAGGAGACCUGGAGCUGGAGAACCCGCCCGCCAGAGUCGUAGUAGUGGAUGGGGAGUAGCCGUCCCAUUUUCAACACAUGUCUCAUUCUAAAUUGACGUUUUGGUGGGCUGGCCGAAGAAGGAGAAAGACCCGCGGCUCCGACCUCUGACCUCUAACCCCGGACGCACUUUGAUUUCGCCGGCUUGCGCGGAAGGCUGACUCCCUGGGCCGCGGCCUGGCGCGGGAGCCGCCUGUGGGGUGUCCCCGGCGCGGGAGGGUGCUCUGGUUCAGGCCCGCUGCCCAGGUAUGCACAAGUCAAGGCCUUUUCUGCAGACCAAGUAGCCUUCCCUGGAGAGCGCCCCCAGCACCACGGAAACUACCUACAUGCCCCGCGGUGGUCAGCCCGCCUUAUCCCAGCCCCGAGACCCAAAACAAGAAGCAUGGACUGAAUUUGAGGUUUCUGGAUGGUCGUGUGAACCGAGGGGACGGGUACUGGACUGACAAGAAAUGAGCCUUGAAGGUCAAUCUGGGUGACACCCGAGUCUCCUGAUGGAGUUUCACUAUGUUGCCCAGGCUGAUCUGGAACUCCUGACCUCAAGCAAUCCACCUGCCUCAGCCUCCCAAAGUACUGGGAUUACAGGAGGGAGCCACCGUGCCCGGCCUGGUCCUGUGCAUUUUAUAGAUAAGGUAACUGACAAACCUAGCCACAGUCACCCCUUCGCCCUAAAGGAGAACUGGAAUUUGAACCCAGAGCCUUCUUCACCACCAUCUCCGUUGUUUCUGGAAGCACCCUCCAGGCAGGCCAGCCAGCAUCACGGGGCCUCCCCUGGGGCUGGAACGUCUGCAGGAUGCCCCUUUGAGAAAUGCUGUUCCACAGAACCCUGCCUUUCAGGCCUUGGAGACGUGGGCAGGGGAGAAGCAGCGUCCCUCAGAGCCAGGCCUGGCAGUGGUGCUAGCAGGGGCCAAGGCCCAGGGAGCAGGGUCUCCUGUCGGAGGGACCUGGGCAAGCCCCUCCACGCGCCAGCGGGUUUCUCAGCAGGGGAGGUCCACACCACACCGCUUGGGAACCUGGGUGCCUAAACGCAACAGGAGCCAAGGCACAAAUUUAACCAAACACCAAGGUUGCGUGAGGCCCCAUUUCAUGAGCCGGGCUCCAAGGACGUGUCCUUAGGCGGCUCUGGAAGGCCCAGCGCCAGCCCCCGUCCUCUGUUAAAGGGAGCCAGCCCCGCGGCUCCGCCCAGGCAUGGUAGCCUGAGCGCGCCCCCAGGGUAGUAGGGGGCACCUGAGGAGCAGGGUCUGCCCUGGCAUGAGCAGAGCCCAGGAUGGGGUCAGGGUCAGGCCCUGCCAGAGGCUGGAGGGUGCCCAAGGCGAGGCCGGUGAGGCCCAGCUCUACAAAUAAAGUGUUUUAUUUACAGGAGUUGUC
RNAcentral lists this long non-coding RNA (1480 nucleotides) under Homo sapiens (human). Its description in RNAcentral is "ARRDC1 antisense RNA 1". Lineage: Eukaryota; Metazoa; Chordata; Mammalia; Primates; Hominidae. The record is from RNAcentral.